UAAGAUGAAAUGUGAUGGGGUGAAAUCAUGGCAGUGUGAUUUUCAAACACCAACUUGCCUUGGAAGGAAAUGUGGGGAUGUGCACUGCUGGAAGCCAUGUGUUCUGAUAUGAGAAGAACUUCUUCAGAAGGUAUCUUAAUGCAUAUGGGGAAACUGAGGCCCAGCUGCUUGAGGGGAGCUGAGAGACCUAGAUACCAUAUUUAGAGUGGCUUAGGCAACAUCCACAAGGCCAGAAUAGCUCAUCUGUCCAGAACUAAAACGAGAUCCCUGCUCUACAGACUCUUCACCCAGCCCUUUUAUGAGUUGUCAUAGCCUUCUCCAGCAUGUGUUCCUUCUAUAUUUCAGACAUGGCAUAGGAGACACAGCAAUAACUAAGGGGCAACUAUUGCAUCCAGGAAAAAAAAAAAAGAAGAUAAUGACUUCUCUGCAACUAAGAUGAAGAUCCACUGAACUUUGGGGUUUGAAAUGCAACGUUAGAACUUCAGACUCCCGGCACCUAGGUCUCCAGCUUCUGGGUGGUGCCAGCAUCAGAGAUACACUCUGCAAAACAUAUACUGUCUUAGGAAAAAGUGACCCUGUUGUCCUUUCAGGCCCAUAUUCCACAGAAGACAAAUGGAGAUGUAAAAGGAAAACUGCAGCUCUGAGUUAAGAGAGAGCAAGUUGUCUGUUCUAAUACAGCCAGGAAAUAAGAUGUUCUGGUUAAUAUGUGCUAAAGAUGUGGUGCUGACUUUCCGACUCAGAAUA
Pan troglodytes (chimpanzee) is the source of this 744-nucleotide long non-coding RNA. RefSeq lists it as uncharacterized. The record is from RefSeq and is a predicted model, not a curated record. The transcript has 5 exons. NCBI's taxonomy places the organism in Eukaryota, Metazoa, Chordata, Mammalia, Primates, Hominidae.